CACACCAGUUUGGCACCCAGUGCCUCAUCGGAUAAUUCGAAGUAGUAAAUUGACACCCAAUGUCUCAUCGAAUAAAUCUGAAGUAGUAAAUUGACACCCAGUCUCAUCGGUUAAACCGAAGUAAAUUGGCAACCAGUGCCUCAUCGACUCGAAGUUGAAGAAAACCGUGAACUCUUCCAAUCCUAUGGCAUGCUAUCUAUAUCCAACUCAGCCCGAUACAGUUAAUAGGGUUCCAAUUCACUUUCCAAAUAAAACAAAUAUCCAAUAUCAUAUUUGCACAUAUAUAUAUUCAUAAUAUAUAUAUCAAUUCAAUCCAAUUCAAUCAACUUUAAAUCAAUUCAAUAAUCAAAGUGCCAUAUACUCACCUUAAUCACUUACCAUAUACAUUAAUUUAAAAUACAACAAUUAACAACUAGGUUCGGAUUAUAGAAAUACAAAUAAAAAAUUCCGAACUAUUCGAUGUCGACUUUAUCUUUCCCCUUUUUAGUCGAGGAUUUCGGUACGACGUUAGCUACAAAAUUAAAACAAUUAAAAUUCAUAAAUACAACAAAAUUCAAUUCAUAUUGAAUAUUUCAAUUUUUACUCAAUAUUUUCCUAAAUUCCAAUUUAGUCCCUAAACUGAGCCUAACUUUAUUUCUUUACAAUUAAUCCUAUAUUUUCAUACAAAUUUCACUUUUAAGUAAAUUUAACUCCCUAUUUUCACUUAAAUCCCUAAAUUUUAAAUUUUUCAUAAUUUAAUCUCUAUUACUAAAAAUUUACAAUUUAUUCUAUAAUUUAAUCCUUUUUCAUUUCUAACUUUUAAAUCUAUCAAUUUAAUCCCUAAUACUAAAAUUAUUCAACAUUUAAAAACUCAAUCAUUGCUAAAAUUUUAACAUAGGUCGGAUAGUACUUAACACCAAAAUUUAAAAAAUAUAAAAAUUACAAGAAAAAAAAACUAAAUUGACCAACCGAUUGAACUUAGAAACUUUAAAACCCUUUGCGUCUGUUUCUUACUUCUUUCUCUUUUUCUUUUUCUUUCUUUCCUUUCUAUUUUCGUUUUUGGCUUGGCUUUUUUUUGUUUUUAUUCAUUCAUUUACUUAUUUUGUUUUAUUAUACAUUAGUUUGUUAUUAUUAUAAUAUAAUAUAUACACUUAUUAAUUAAGUAAACAUAUUUUAUUAUAAUAUAUAUUAAAUUUAUAAAUAUCUUACCUUAUGCCUCUUCAUUAAAGAACAAUGACAUAAUUGUUUCUUUAGUCUCUUUAAUUUUUCUUUAAUCUAUAAUUCAACUUUUACCCUUUAUACAAUUUAGUUUUUAUAUCUAAUUACUCUUAAUUCAUGCAAAUUCACUUAACCAAAACCUAAUUAACUACACAACUAACUUUGUAAAUAUUUAUAAAAUAUUUGCAAGUCUAAUUUACGGUAACGGAGUCUUGAAAAUACAAUUUCCGACACCCGUGACUAUCGGGUCGUUACACGUGUAAGGUGUGUUUAGAUACUCAUUAUUUGGAAUUUUUUACGGAGAGAUAUUGUAUGUAAUGUGAGGUAUUUGGGGAGAGUGAUUUGUAAUAAUUGGGGUCGGUGUUGGGGUGGCAAUUAAUUUUUUGUGUAAGGUUAGAUUGUGCUUAAGCAAAUAGGUGAUUCAAGCGAUUGUUGAACAAAAUCAUUUACUGAGCGAGGCUCCUAAGUAGGAUUGAUGAAUCUAAACUGUGUUAAUAAAUAUUGUAUUAACAAAUAUUGUGUGUGAAUGCUCUUUUUGUUUGGCUCAUUCUUCACUUUGCAUUUAAUUUGUUCUGUUUGAUUAGAAUGAAACUGUUUUUCAAGUUAAAUUGAAAACUUUUUUAGUGUUUUUUUAAUUUUUAUUAUGGUUUAAAUUUGUAAUUUAUAUAAUAUUUUUAUCAUAUAAAUAGUUAUGUAACGAGAGUUAAUUACUAUGAAGAUUGAAUUUUGAGGCGCUUUAUUUAAUUUUUUAAAAAAAUUUAAUAUUAGACAUUUUACAAUAUUUUUAAUAAUAUUUUUUGUAAUUAUAAUAAUUUCUUUUUAUUUUUUUAGUGAUGUGGUAUGCCACGACAGCGUUGUUAAUAGUUAAUAAUGGUUUCUAUUAAUGGAAAGGUUUAGUUGAUUAUUUUUUUGGUCAAGACUCAAUAGGAUACAUUUUUUAAGGGCUCAAAUGAUUUUUUUUUUCAUUUUUUACUAAGGGUAUUUUGAACCCUUAAGCCUUUUUAGUUUCAAAUAUUAUAUUUUAUUAUUUAUUAUAUUUUAUUUACAAACACACCCAUUUUAUCUAAAAAUGUGGUUUCCAUAUGCAUACGUGUGAUGAAAUUUCUAGUCAAUAUAACACCAUUUUACAUUUAUAUGUUGUAUACACAAAUAACUAUAUUCAUCUCAUAUAAAAAUUAAUUGAUAUAUUUAUUUUUUUGAAAGUGUAUAAUUGAAUUAGAAUCAAAUGCUCAUGUAUACAUUUGAAUCACCAUCAGAGUUUCACAUGAGUAAUUGCACCAUCAAAGUUGAUACAUACACAGAUGGGGUGAAAUUUAUUAAGUUUCAUUCACCGAAGCUACCAAAUUUCAAGUUUGAAAAAUUAGUUGACUUGCGAUGACUUUUUAGAUGAGAUCCAAGAAUUUUGGGGUUGAGAUGUCUUAAUAGAGUUCGAAGAUCUAUUUCUUACGUUUGAAAUGCAUUUUGAAUCACUCGAUUUCGAGUUUGAAAGCUCAAGUUAUGACCAUUUUAGUGAAGACUACGCGAGCAAAAUUUAUGGAUGAGAUUAUUAUGAGAAUUACGAGUUUUUGACUUUUAAUUCGGGUUUAAAUCAUAUUGGAUUCGAUUUUUAGACUUAAUUUUUAUUAUAUAUGAGCCUAAUAUUGCAUUGAUUAGAUUUUUUUAUUUAUUACGAAUUUUGGAUUUUUAAAAACCAAUUUUAAGUUGUUUAGGAGUUUUAUGUUUUUUUAGUCAAACAAGAAAGUUUAGUUUAAAACUACUUCUUGUUUAAAAUAGUUAGAGUUUCAUUAUAUUUAAGAGUUUUAUUUUGAUGUAAUUCACAAGUGUUAGUAAUGCAAAAGAAAAGGCCAAAUCCCACAUUGGUUGGGGAAAUGCUUCUAAAAACAGUUUAAAUAUAGUCUUACUUAUUACUUCUAUUGAGUAAUUGAGACUAAGGCCCAACACAUGCACGCUAUUGCCUGCUCAUUUGUGUCUGUGUCCAUGUUGACACGUGUUUACGACACAUAUCGCAUGUGUUUCUUUUUGGAUAAAAUUUUUAUUUUUAUUUUUACGAAAAUUAUCACUUCAAUUUAUAAACUGCUACAAUUUUAAUUUGAUCAUGUGUUUUUUUAGGGAAAUAGACUCUUUAAAUUUAUCAUUUUUACCCUUUUAAAUUUACCAUUUUGCCCUUCAAAAAAUUAUUAUAAAUACUUGAGUCAUUCUCCUUAUUAAAUACACAACAAUACAGAGAUCACUUUUUUCUCAAAGCCUUUCUUUUCUCAUUUCUGAAAACUUUUUCCAGUCAAUUAUUCCGAUCAAGUUUUCAAUCUUGUUUUCUUAGCCUAUUUUCCUAAAAUUUUUUGAUAAGAGCAAUACUAAUUGGGUUCCACCUUUUUUAUUCGGGUUUACGAAUAUUGAAGUCCUGUGUUAACCUUGGGGGCGAUAUCCACUAUACGAUUACACCUAUCAAGGCAGAUUUGCUUCUAAGGCAGUACUUUUUCCAUGACACAGUAAUCAUUUUUUUUAUUUAUGUUCAGUUUAUUCUUUCCUAUUAGUGCUAACAGUUUGUUUUGCAAUAGUAUCUUUCCAACAGCAAGCCUAUAUAAAGGUCUGUUCAUUGUUCAUUAGAUACAUAAUUAUUUUCAUUAAUAAAAUUUUCAACACCAAGAGUUAGUUUAUUUGUGUAAGAUUUCUUUAUUGUGAUUUUUAGAAGUAGCUUUAUUCUCGAUUUUCUUUAAGGAGUCAUGAGAAUUCAAUCUUCAUCCUUUAUUUGUCAUUGAUUAUUUCUUGAAGGGUUGAUUAAAAUCAUUAAUUGAGUUUGUUGGGGUUUAUAUCUUAAAGGGUUCAAGUGAACACUUAUCUAUCAUAUCCAUCAGUUUACUCGUUCCAUGAGUCUUUUUUUCUCGAGUCAAACAAUUUGUAUACGAUCUUGGUCUAUUUACUUCUUUAUAAAAAAUUAACAUAUCAAAUCUCACAGUGAACCACAAAUUAUGUAUAAUUUUUAUAUUUUUCUUUUUUAUUUUAGUUACAUAUUUUCAUUAGUAAUACUAAAACAUAUAACUAUAUAUUAAAGCUCUCUCGAUUCAUGGGAUAACUUAAUUUAAUAUCGAAGAUAGCUAAUAAUAUUGUGCCAAAUCAUUUGUGUCAUUAAAAUUUUUAAUAAUGGUAAUUAUGGUAUUCUCAAAAAUUAAGAAAAAUAUAUUAAGAGUUAAUUAAGAUAUGUUUGCAAAAACAAUAAAUUAUGUGGAGAAAUGGAGCAGAUUAUUAGUAAAUUUUGGUGGCAAAAAUAGAAAGGCACGAGGGGAAUACAUUGGUGCAGUUAGAGUAAAUUAAGCACGUUAAAGGAGGACGGUGGGAUGGGUUUCAAAAAUGUCUGAAUUUAAUGUGGCCUUUCUCGCAAAACAGGCUGGCAUUUAUUGGAGUAUCCAGAUUCAUUAUUAGCAAAGACUUUAAUGGCUAAAUAUUAUCCAAGCACAUAUUUCAUGCAAGUAGAGUUAGGAAGUUACCUUUUGUAUACCUGGAGGAGUAUUUGGGCAACAAGGAAAGUCUUGCAAGAUGGAAUGACUUGGAGAGUUGGUAAUGGUGAAAGCAUAUCAAUUUGGCAGGAUGCUUAGGUCCCUGGAUUGGAAAAACAAAUAAUUCUGGAGUCAGUCAACGAUAAUAAUGUAAUCAGAGUGGCAGAUUUAAUUGAUUUGAAUUCAAGACAAUGGAAGAAGGAAAUUAUUACCAGACUAUUCAAUAACAAUGAGGUAGAGGCAAUCCUGGGCAUCCCUUUGGCAAAACAAUCGCGCGAAGAUAGAAGAGUUUGAAGUGGUGAACCAACGGGGGAAUACACAGUACGGAGUGGAUACAGAAGUUUAUUGAAGAAAAAUACAAACCCAAAAAUAGCCAACAAUGAAGAUAUAAGCAAAGAAUAUUACAACAACCUUUGGCAGACAGAUUUGCUAAACAAGAUUAAAAUUACAAAUUGGAGAAUAUACAACAACUAUAUUCUUAUGUUUGGAAAUCUAUACUACAAAAGAGUCAAUAAUUCGGCGUUGUGUCCGAAAUGCAGGGAGGGAACAAUGACUUUGGAACAUGCGAUUAGGGACUGUUCUGCAAUAAAGGAAAUCUGGUCAGAACUAGGGUUUGGUAUAUUAGAGGAAGCAUUAAAUGAGAAUUUACAGGCAUGGAUAAGGAAAAACAAAAUGAUGAACUCAACAGAGAAAUGCAACACAAUGCAAUAUGUAUUUCUCAUAACUUUGAAAGCAAACAACAGUGGCUUUAAAUAGCCUUACAAAAAUAGAAAAGCUAAAAAUAAGCUAACGUAUCCCACUAACUCAUGAAACUAAAAAACUGAAAUAAAGACUAAUUAAAAAACAAUAACAAACGAAGAUAUGCUCCUAAUAAUUAGGAACUUAUUCAACAAACAUAAGACUUCUUCAAACCUAACAAAACCCUCCCCUAAACUAAACAUACCAGUUGUAUGUUAGUUUAUAUCACUGUAACUUCGAACGCCAAGUGCUUCUCUGAGUUUUUCGAAUUGAUCGAGCUUCAAGGGUUUAGUUAUAAUAUCAGCUACUUGCUCACCAGUUUCGUAGUACUCCAUGCUAAUUGAUCCAUCAAAUAUAAGAUUUCUUAGAAAGUGAAACCUUACAUCAAUGUGUUUACUUCUUCCAUGAAAGACUAGAUUUUUUGCAAGCUUAAUGGUAGAGGAGUUAUCACAAAGAAUUUUGACUGAUUUACUUUGGGUACCUUUAAUUUGCUUCCAAAUUCGCUGCAUCUAUACACUUUGACAAGCGCAUGAGACAGCAGCUACAUACUCUGCUUUUGUAGUUGACAGAGUAACAACGGGUUGCUUCUUUGAUGCCCAAGCUACUGCUCCUUCACUUAGCAUAAAGACAUAGCCUGAAGUACUCUUUCGAUCACUCAAAUAUCCAGCAUAAUCAAUGUCUAUGUACUCCAUCAGUUCAUGUGUGUAAUUCCUCUUGUAAAGAAUGCCAAAAUCUGUGGUAGCUUGAACAUAUCUCAGAAUUCUUUUAGCUACCAGCAUAUGCGCUUCCAUUGGAUUUGAUAUGAAUCUACUGAUCAGACAUACACUGUACAUCAGAUCAGGUCUUGUGAUUGUCAUGUACAUUAAACUUCCUACGAUUUGCUUGAAUAAGGUUCCAUCAACUUGUGCUCAUUCUUCCUCCUUUGAUAAUUUGCUGCCAGGAAUUAUUGAAUUCCUGACUCCAUUGUAAGCCCCCAUUCUGAAUUUUUCAAGAACUUCAUUGGCAUAUUUAUUUUGGUUGAUGAAUAUCCCAUUAAUGCCUUGAUAUACUUCUAUUCCCAAAAAAUACUUUAUCUCACACAGAUUAGUCAUUUCAAACUCAUUUUUCAUUGAGUUUUUGAAACCUUGCAUAAUUAACAAAUCAUUACUUGUAAAAAUGAGAUCAUCAAUGUAGAGACUUACAAUCAGAAUCUUGUUAUCCUCAGGUUUCUUGAUAAACAAAGUGUGAUCACAACAGCUCUUUUCGAAACCUUCUUUGAUAAAGUAUCCUUCAAUUCUGCUGAACCAUGCUCUCGGAGCUUGUUUUAAGUCGUAGAGAGCCUCCUUCAAUUUGUACACUUUGUCCUCUUCUCCUUUCACUUCACAACCUUGUGGUUGAGCGACGUAUACAUCUUCACUGAGUUCACCAUGUAGAAAGGAACUUUUGACGUCGAGCUGAAAGACUUUCCAACCAUUUCUUGCUACGAGAGCUAAUACCAUUCGAAUAGUAUCCCAUCUUGUUACAGAAGCGAACACCUCAUUAUAGUCUAUCCCCUUCUCUUGAACAUAUUCCUUGACCACCAAUCUCGUCUUGAACUUAUCAAUUUAUCUAUUUUUGUUCAAUUUUUUUCGAUAGACCCACUUAACUCCAAUCACUUUCACACCGGAGGGAGCUUUUACCCACUUCCAUGUAUGAUUUUUCUCUAUUGCUUCAAUUUCAAGAUCCAUCGCCUUCCUUCUAUCUUUUGAUUUUACUACUUGUUCAUAGGAUAAAGGAUCAUCAGUAGAUAAAAAUAACACAAAGUUUUGUACCUCAUCUUCUGAGAGACCUUUUCCACUCGUGCACUCAUCUAGAUAUGCUGGAGCCCUUAUUUCUCAAGUUUGAGGAGCUGCUACUUCAUCAUUGGAGAGAUUUACUGCGUCACUUGAGGUAGAUUUCUCAUCAACUGAAUCUUCGUCGUUUAAAUUUGAUUCAUCUUCAUCAUUUUAAUUGUAUGCUUCUUCAUAGGCUUCUCCCCAAUCUAAUACAUCAUUUAUGGUUUCUUCUUUUGUACUGCUCCAAUCUCAACCUUCAUUUUAUUCAAAAACCACGUCUCUACUGAUGGUGAUUUUCUUUGUCAGUGGAUCAAUCAUUUUAUAACAUUUGGAUUUUUCGCUGUAACUUAUUAGAACUUGCUUUUGGCUUCUUGCAUCUAGCUUUUGUCUUUUUGCCUCGGGUACACAAACAUUUCCAAUGCAUCCAAACACCGAAAGUAUUCAACAUUGGGUUUGAGGUUACUCCAGCAUUCUUCAGGGAUUUUAUUCUUCAAGCAGGUAGUGAGACUUCUGCUUAACACAUGGCACGUCCACUUUACAACAUCUGGCCAGAACAUUUUCGGCAUCUCUUUUUUCUUCAAGCAUGCAUCUCAGCAUGUUGAGAAUGGCACGGUUUUUAUGCUCAGAAAAUCCAUUUUUCUUAAGUGUAUAAGCUAUUGUGAGUUGCCUUUUGAUGCCUUGUGCCUUGCAAAAAUUUGAGAACUCCUCAAAGUUGAAUUCUCCUCUUCUGUCUGUUCUUAAACUCUUUUUGCUAUAUGAUGCAAGUGAAAUGGGGCCACAAAUAUCAAAGUGGAUGAGCUGCAGUUGCUUUGCUGCCCUCCAUUUACUCUUCUUUGGAAUAGUUUCUCUAUGUUGUUUUCCUGCCAUGCAGCUAGUGCAUCUAUUUGUUGGUGUUCUAAUUUUGGGAAGCCCUUGAACCAUCUCCUUGUUAUUCAAUAAUGCCAAAUGUUUGUAACUCAGAUGUCCAUAUUGUUUGUGCCAAAUAUCGCUGGAAUCCUCAUUGUAUGUAUUGAAGUAGGAGGCUGAUGUCAUGAGAAUAUUUGUGGUGACCACAAACAUUCUGUUGGCAGUCAUUGUACUUUCCAUUAUAAGCCCACGAGUUGGAUUGUAUAUCUUGCAAGCUUCAUGUUUGAUCAGAAUAGUGAUGCCUUGAUCUUGUAAUUGACCUAUACUGAGCAAACUAUUGCAUAAAUCAGGUAUAAAAUACACAUCACUUACUGUUUGGACUUUUCUUCCAAAUUCCAGCUUGAUGUCCCAUUUUCUUUUCACCAUCAGUUUAGAGUCGUUCCCAAGUUUUACCGAAUGCUUGAAUCCUUCAUCAUGUCUUAUGAACCAUUCUUUGUUUCUAGACAUGUGAUUUAAACACCCAAAAUUGAGAAACCAUAUUCCUUCCCUUUUGUUUUGCUUUGCAUCUACUUUUGCAAUCAGCAGCAUCUCGUCUUCAUCAUCAAUUUCUACAUAAUGAGCUUUCUUUUCCCAAUUGGGACAUUCAUACUGAUAAUUCCUUAAAUUGUGACACUUGUAGCAUUCUACAGUUGUUUUAUCUAUACUCUGUCUGCCAUGACCUCUUCCUCUUCCUCGACCUCUAGUCCAGCCUCUGCCUCUUCCACCUCGAUUUUCAUUUGUGACCUUCAAGACCUGCCCUUUUUCAAUUGGGCCUGUCAUUCUUUGUUUAUGAAUCAACAGACUGCUCUGAAGUUCAUCUAUUGUUAGAGUCUCAACAUUGUUGGAUUCCUUAAUUGAGCAUACAUCAUAAUUAAAUUUAGGAACUAAGGAUCACAGAAUCUUCCCUGUAAUAUCAGCUUUUUUGACAUUCUCUCCGUAUAGUUUCAUCUUCUUAGCAAUUGAGAGAGUUCUUCCGAAAUAAGCAUUGACAGUUUCUCCUUCCUUCAUUCUCAAUAUUUCAAACUUAGUUUUUAGAGCUUGAAGUUGUGCUCUCUUGACCCUUGUUGAUCCAUUGAAUUUCUACUUCAUUGAAUCCCAUAUCUGUUUGGAUGUAUCAUCAUUGAGAAUGGUAUCCAUGAUUUCUCUACUUAUUGCUUGGUAGAGAUAACACUUCACUUUCCUGUCUUUCAAUUGCUGUUCUUCAAACAGCUUUACCUCUUCUUUAGAUGGUUUUCUCCCUGUUGGAAUUUUAUCUAUUCCAUCUUCUACAAGGCUCUAAAAUUCCUUUACUCUAAGGAAAUUCACCAUCAACUUUGCCCAGUGUUCAUAGUACCCAUCAAAUUUGAGAACAGCAGCUUGCACAAACGCAUCACUGUUGGAACUGUUUUCCGCCAUUCUUCACACUCUUCUCUCGUGUUUCUCUCAAAAGAAAACUCUAUUCUUUUCUUCAAUCAGGCUUCUUAGACCAGGCUCCGACACCAAAUGUAAAAUAAAAUGAUGAACUUAAUACAAAAACGUAACACAAUGCAAUCUGUAUUUCUCAUAACUUUGAAAGCAAACAACAAUGGCUUUAAAUAGCCUUACAAAAACAGAAAUGCUAAAAAAAGGUAACGUAUCCCACUAACUCAGGAAACUAAAAAACUGAAACAAAGACUAAUUUAAAAACAAUAAAAAACUAAGAUAUGCUCCUAAUAGUUAGGAACUUAUUCAACAAACAUAAGACUUCUUCAAACCUAACAAUUUGGAUGGGACGAAAUAGAGUUUGACAUGAAAAAUACAACAAUUAGCCACAAAACAGUACGAUUUAUUAGAAAGUAUAUAGAAGAGUGGUCGUUAGUACAAAAUAACAUACUGAGGCAAAAAAACGACAGCGAAUGAUAGAAACCACUGGACCAUAAUAUUACCAAAAUAAACUUUGAUGGGGCCUAUAAUAAAAAAAAGGAAAAGAUCAGGAACGAGCAUAAUCUGCAGGAACUAAAAAGGUGAAAAUUUGGGCGUCAAAAUGACAAUUAAUGCACGAGUACCUACACCCUUCGCGGGGGAGGCGCUAGCCUGUUUACAAACAGUACAUGUGAGGUUAGAUUUAAGACUCCAAUGAGUAGUCAUCGAAGGAGGUGCACUCAGUAUUAUACGAUGAGUUCAAACAUCAAAAGAGGAUCGAUCAGUGUUAUGUUUAUACAUACAAGAUAUACAAAUACUAAGCAAAGGAUUUGAAGAGUGUCAUUUUUAGAAAAUCUCUAGAUCUGGCAAUGGAGUUGCACAUGAACUUGCAAGAGUAGCAGUGGAGAGUCUAAGAAACAUUGACCUGGAGAAUCGAUUAUCGAGGAAGGCGCUACUGGCACUGAAGGAAGACGAGAGGAACCUGGCAAUGCCUGGAAAAGAAGAAAGACCUGAAAGGCAUGGGUAACAGACGAGGAAAUGAGACACUAGGGAUCAAUCGAAGGAAAUACUCGUUGAAAGAGUGGUUGCUGAAGGGGCAUUGUGAGAAAUAGGGCAUGUGAAAUGACAGAGGAGAGGAACUAGAAAAAGAUACUAAAAAAGGAAGCGGUAAGCAAUGAGAGAGUCUUGGGAACUGAUAGUGGGUAAUCAAAUAUCUGGAAAAUGGUGGAGGCUAUCUCAGG
RNAcentral lists this long non-coding RNA (10725 nucleotides) under Gossypium barbadense (sea-island cotton). RNAcentral describes it as "long non-coding RNA (GBAR_LNC022216)". The record is from RNAcentral. Lineage: Eukaryota; Viridiplantae; Streptophyta; Magnoliopsida; Malvales; Malvaceae.